Molecule: long non-coding RNA, 238 nt
Filed under: Anolis carolinensis (green anole)
Lineage: Eukaryota; Metazoa; Chordata; Lepidosauria; Squamata; Anolidae
Description: lncRNA (ENSACAG00000042726.1)
Source: RNAcentral
UCGUGGUUGUGUUGUUACAACCGGAAGGAAAGGUUUUGUGUUGUGUUGUCAAGUUUUAUAUUUCUGGGGUGUUUAGUUGUGUGCCAAGUUUCGUAUUUCUGGGGCGUUUAGUUGUGUUGUUAUAGUCACGAUGUGUUGUUGUGAGUUUUAUAUUUCUGGGGCGUUUAGUUGUGUGCCAAGUUUUGUAUUUCUGGGGCGUUUAGUUGUGUUGUUAUCGCAUGAUGCGUUGUUGUGAGUU